UUAAUUUCAUUUGUUUAGAUAACUCAGACGACACGUUUUAACAAUAGUUUUGGUGUGGGCCAUCGACAGGCACAGGCCCGGGGUCGCGAGACCCCCGGCGGCCCGCCCAGACGCGAGGUCCGGGCAGGCGGGCCUGCCGAAGCAACAUAAGGUCAGGUAGACAAAGGGUUGGAGGUCGGGCGCGGGUUAGGCACCCUAACUCGGUAAUGAUCCUUCCGCAGGUUCACCUACGGAAA
RNAcentral lists this unclassified non-coding RNA (236 nucleotides) under uncultured fungus. RNAcentral describes it as "sequence contains ITS1". The record is from RNAcentral. Lineage: Eukaryota; Fungi.